GUACUGAUGAAGAGUCCCAAACUAGGACGAAACAGUUGUCCAAUAC
This is a non-coding RNA of Trichobilharzia regenti, 46 nucleotides long. NCBI's taxonomy places the organism in Eukaryota, Metazoa, Platyhelminthes, Trematoda, Strigeidida, Schistosomatidae. The record is from Rfam.